Molecule: long non-coding RNA, 3908 nt
Filed under: Sus scrofa (pig)
Lineage: Eukaryota; Metazoa; Chordata; Mammalia; Artiodactyla; Suidae
Description: lncRNA (ENSSSCG00040068305.1)
Source: RNAcentral
GAAAUCAAAACCUUCAAUGAGUUAUUUCCCUCUCCCUUCCAUUACUUUUCAAUCUAUGUCCAUUCUAACUCAGGCUUAACUCAUAUUAACAAAUUCAUAUUGGUUUUUUUUGCCAAUAUACCCAAUAAAUAUUUAUUAUACUAGCUGUAUUAUACAAAUACACUUAUGUUCGAAAAACUCAGAGGCAGAUUUACUAUGAAGUAAAUGAGGCUCCCUCAUUUGCAUGAGACCCUUCCAAAGCCCUAUAUCUAAUUUUGCAAUUAUAAUUUGUGUUCAUUUUCUUAAAGUUCUCCUGCCAAAUUAGAGAAGGUUUGGGCUCACAAAAAUCAGGUCCAUCUCUAUAAUAAUGGCAUUCUAUGUUUUCAUCAUGGAAGGUACGUGUUAUAUAGACACAGGACCUGAGAAUCAGAGAGGUAAAAGACUUGUCUAAAUUCUCCUCUUGAAUGGCAAAUGAACUAAGCUGAGAUCAUUUGCCUCUGAAUCCAGAACAUUUUGAUUAAGCCACAGUGCUUACUUCUCAGAGAUGAAGAAUGCUGCCAUAUCAUGUUCUCCAGGUGCUCAAUUUCAUCAUCGCUGCAAUCAAUCUACUUCUCUCAAAGGUGGCCAGAAAUUAACACAUUUGUUGAGGGCCCAUUACUCACCAGGCCUUCUACCAGGUGUUUCGCAUGUGCACGCACAUAGACACGCUUGGAUGCACCAACACGCAAUUUCUUUUGAUUCUCUAAACAACCUAGUGAAGGUGCACAAGUGAUGGAAACAAGGCUUCAAAAGGGUGACUUGCCGGAAGUCUCAGAAAGUGGGUGAUAUUUGAAACUACACCUAUGCAACUCUGAAGUCUAUGACUUUCCUGUUUUUAAGGCUGCUUCUCCUUUUUGUAUCAAAUCUGGGCAAAGCAAUCACAUCACAGAAGUCAUCUCUUGCACUCCAGUGCAUGUCAACAGUGGUUUUCUUUGGUGACACUGAGAAGAAAAAAGCCAUCAACCCAGUCCUCUUCAGAUUCAGUGUCACAGGUGAGUAUUUGAGAUACAGACCAUCACUCAAACGGUCCAUCUACUGAAAAAGCAACCUUUGCGCACCUGUAUCUCUCUAGCAGUGUCAUCUUUUAGAUGGGGGAAUAAUCCUAUAAAAAUCUCUCCCUGCAAUGCAAGUCUGCUCUAAUCCCCAGAUGCACUCCUCACAUCCCAGAUUAGACAAGCCCUCUAAAUUACCCAUGGUUUUGCCAAGAAGAAGACUUCAAUUUAUAGGAAACUUUGGGUAACCAAGUUGCCUUCUCACUGGGGACAAUGGAAAUGAUAACAGCACAUGCCCAGAUGGAGCCAAAUGACUCUGCAGCCCAGGAAUUCAAAGCAGUAGCUGCUGAAUCACAUGUGUCAAGAGUAAUCACAGAGCACAUGCCCAACCACUAUGGGAGGAUUCCUGAACAGGGCUGCAGGACUACUGCCGUGUGUUACAGAGCCUCCUUCACCUCUGAACCCUCACAUACCUGGGGACCUCUGGACCAAAGCCCAUGUAGUCUUUCUUGGAGAUGCAUAAAUCUGCUACAAGGGUGGCCUCUCAGGCCCCUCUUCUAAGAGGAAUCAUUCUCAGGAAAGUUAAAUGCAGGGGGCCAGAGCAAGGGAUCCCCCAGACUGGGUGUAGGACCAACCCCCGUUAUGGGAUUACAGGCACAAGGAUCCACAGAAAAUCACAUAGGUUGGUUUGGAACAAAAACUAAAUACGACAGCAAUUAAAACUAUUCUACUGAACACUGAAAAUACCAGCAGGACUCUCCUCUGCCUCCAACUCCUCCCCUUUCCCCCUAAGAUUAAAAUUUGAGAUGGUCAGAACCAUUGGCAAGACAACUUAUUCUAACGCAAAAACAAGAAGUGAUACAAUCUAUUGCUUUUCGUUGGCUUCCUCCUGACGGCCUUGGUUCACAAUGAUCCUUGCUCUCAAUGGAAACACAGCUGCAGCUUCACAACUAGUCUCCCUUUCUAGGGUCAUUCUCCUCCAGUCCAUCUUCUACAUUGCUGUCGGAAUAUUUUCCUAAAGUACACAGAUAACCAUGCCUUGCCCCUCUCAGAAUCUGUGGGCUCUUAAUCACCUGAAGGACACAAUAUAGAAUCCCUGGUCUCGUGGACAAUUUUUCACAAUCUUCUCUAAACUCACUUCUAACCCUCCUCUUGAUGCACCUUAUAUCCCAGGCUGUUAAUAUACCUGGUGUUGCCAAAACACACCUUUUUUUCUUUAUAUCUCUGUCCAGUGGACCUUGGCUUCUGCUCCUAAAGAGACAUUAUCUACACAUAAACAUGGAGCAUUUCUAUUCAUCCUUCAGACCCUACUCAAAUACCUUUUCCUCUUGAGAAGCUGAGUCCCGUGAUCCCAUCAUGAAUCAUUCUCCCUAAUGGGACGCCAUAGGAUUUGCACAUAAAACUAUGGCAACACUUAUCACAAUGCAUUGUAAGUACUUGUUCAAAUGGAUAUUUUUCUCCCAAAGACUGUGAACUUGGCAAGGGCUGAGUUCUUUGUUAUUCUACUUUAUGUUACUCUGGGUAUUUAGCAUGGAGGAGAUAGACUAGAAUUGUAGGUAGCCUAUAAAAUAAUGAAAUAAUGAGCAAAGCACUGGCAUAGAGAAAUUAAACAUAAGCAAAAGCAGAAAAAUGGAUCAAAUAUGACACAAGAGGAUAUAGUAUAAAUUAGCACCUUAAAAGGUUUUUUUUUUACCUGAUAAUCAUUUUUCCAAAGUAAUUUCAUAUGAACGCUAUACCAUAGUUAUUUUCUAUAGCAAAACAAAUGAUGAACUAUUUUUUGUCCAGCAACAGAUCAUUUUACUUACUGCAACCUUAUGAUCCAUCCAUAUAUAGAACUCUAAUGAUAGUCUACAUCAGGGGUCGGCAAAUCUCUCCUAUAAAGUAGAGUCAGUUAAUAUUUUAGGCUUUGCAGGGGCACAGCCGUGGCAUACGGAGGUUCCCAGGCUAGGGGUCCAGUCGGAGCUGUGGCCACUGGCCUACACCACAGCCAUAGCAAUGCAGAAUCUGAGCCGUGUCUGCAAUCUGCACCACAAGUCAUGGCAAUUCCAGAUCCUUAACUCACUGAGCAAGCCCAAGGAUCGAACCUGUGUCCUCAUGGAUGCUAGUCGGGUUCGUGAACCACAAGCCACGACAGGAACUCCUAAUAAAACUUUAUGAACACUGAAAUUUGAAUGUUAUAUGAUUUUUAUUUCACAAAAUAUUAUUUUUUCUUGAUUCCUUUCCAGCUACAUAAAAAUGUAAAAAAUCAUGUACAAAAUGAGUUGUACAAAAGCAGGUGGUGGAACAAAUUUGGCCCAUAGGCUGUACGCUGAACUACAGUUUACAAAAUUUUUUUUAAACCUUGGCUCAAAUGCUAGUCAUUGUUCUAUGGCAGUCUUUCCCAAUAUAAAAGAUUCUUUGUCACUGAAAGUAAUAAUCCCUUGAGCAUUGCAAGGACUCAGAAAUAUGAAAUAAAAAGCAAGAUGAAUGAUUUGUCACAUUGACUGUAAAGACCUAAGCAGUUUAUCUGGCUUGGUGUAAACACACUGCAGGGUGGAAAAUGGUGGUAAUUUUUUUUUUCCUUCUCAAAUAAGAAAGGACAAAAGAAACCUGCAGAAUGUUACACCAACGGAUUUGUCGUAAUCAGCCUAUGCUGACUGUGUGUUUAUCUGAUGAAAAACUCAAAAUGUCCCAUAAAACAAAUUCAUGGCCAAACAGAACUGGGUGUUUUUGCUGGGAUGUGCCACAUAUUGGUAACACAAUCAAUACUCUAUCAAAGCAAAAUUAUAACAGAAUCAUUUUGGAGUGUAAUGUCCAUUGCCUUCCAGAAGAUACAGCCCAUAGGCAGAAACCGCAUCACUGCAGUUCAACUCUGUACAGAAGCGAGACCAAGCUUCUUAGAAUGUCCCAAACACUUUU